This 253-nucleotide ribosomal RNA is filed under the name uncultured bacterium. RNAcentral describes it as "partial 16S ribosomal RNA". It matches the Rfam family "Bacterial small subunit ribosomal RNA", at positions 524 to 776 of the family's 1533-position model. The record is from RNAcentral.
UACGUAGGGUGCAAGCGUUAAUCGGAAUUACUGGGCGUAAAGCGUGCGCAGGCGGUUGUGCAAGACAGAUGUGAAAUCCCCGGGCUCAACCUGGGAACUGCAUUUGUGACUGCACGGCUGGAGUACGGCAGAGGGGGAUGGAAUUCCGCGUGUAGCAGUGAAAUGCGUAGAUAUGCGGAGGAACACCGAUGGCGAAGGCAGUCCCCUGGGCCUGUACUGACGCUCAUGCACGAAAGCGUGGGGAGCAAACAGG